Molecule: ribosomal RNA, 557 nt
Filed under: Pseudoalteromonas sp. Ld9
Lineage: Bacteria; Pseudomonadati; Pseudomonadota; Gammaproteobacteria; Alteromonadales; Pseudoalteromonadaceae
Description: bacterial SSU rRNA
Rfam family: Bacterial small subunit ribosomal RNA
Source: RNAcentral
CCUGCUAGCUGUGACGUUACUGACAGAAGAAGCACCGGCUAACUCCGUGCCAGCAGCCGCGGUAAUACGGAGGGUGCGAGCGUUAAUCGGAAUUACUGGGCGUAAAGCGUACGCAGGCGGUUUGUUAAGCGAGAUGUGAAAGCCCUGGGCUCAACCUGGGAACUGCAUUUCGAACUGGCAAACUAGAGUGUGAUAGAGGGUGGUAGAAUUUCAGGUGUAGCGGUGAAAUGCGUAGAGAUCUGAAGGAAUACCGAUGGCGAAGGCAGCCACCUGGGUCAACACUGACGCUCAUGUACGAAAGCGUGGGGAGCAAACGGGAUUAGAUACCCCGGUAGUCCACGCCGUAAACGAUGUCUACUAGAAGCUCGGGUCCUCGGACUUGUUUUUCAAAGCUAACGCAUUAAGUAGACCGCCUGGGGAGUACGGCCGCAAGGUUAAAACUCAAAUGAAUUGACGGGGGCCCGCACAAGCGGUGGAGCAUGUGGUUUAAUUCGAUGCAACGCGAAGAACCUUACCUACACUUGACAUACAGAGAACUUACCAGAGAUGGUUUGGUG